RNAcentral lists this small RNA (106 nucleotides) under Marmota monax (woodchuck). The record is from RNAcentral. Lineage: Eukaryota; Metazoa; Chordata; Mammalia; Rodentia; Sciuridae.
GCUGUGUGCAGUGGUACACACUUGUAAUCCCAGCACCUUGGGAGGCUGAGGCUGGAGGAUUGCUAGUUUGAGGCCAGAGUGGGCAAUUAGCAAGACCCUGUCUUUG